Molecule: ribosomal RNA, 497 nt
Filed under: uncultured bacterium
Lineage: Bacteria
Description: partial 16S ribosomal RNA
Rfam family: Bacterial small subunit ribosomal RNA
Source: RNAcentral
GAUGAACGCUGGCGGCGUGCCUAAUACAUGCCAGUCGAGCGAACGGACGAGAAGCUUGCUUCUCUGAUGUUAGCGGCGGACGGGUGAGUAACACGUGGAUAACCUACCUAUAAGACUGGGAUAACUUCGGGAAACCGUAGCUAAUACCGGAUAAUAUUUUGAACCGCAUGGUUCAAAAGUGAAAGGCGGUCUUGCUGUCACUUAUAGAUGGAUCCGCGCUGCAUUAGCUAGUUGGUAAGGUAACGGCUUACCAAGGCAACGAUGCAUAGCCGACCUGAGAGGGUGAUCGGCCACACUGGAACUGAGACACGGUCCAGACUCCUACGGGAGGCAGCAGUAGGGAAUCUUCCGCAAUGGGCGAAAGCCUGACGGAGCAACGCCGCGUGAGUGAUGAAGGUCUUCGGAUCGUAAAACUCUGUUAUUAGGGAAGAACAUAUGUGUAAGUAACUGUGCACAUCUUGACGGUACCUAAACAGAAAGCCACGGCUAACUACGUG